CUCAGGUGCUUAAGGCAAUGAGAGAAUCUGUUUCAACAGAACCUGCUAUCUUUGCCAUGUCUAACCCCACCAUGAAUGCUGAGUGCACUGCUAUUGAUGCUUUCAAGCAUGCUAGGGAAAAUAUAGUGUUUGCCAGUGGAACCCUCUCGAAAAUGUAGAUCUUGGUAACGGAAAAGUGGGCCAUGUAAAUCAAGCAAACAACAUGUACCUAUUCCCUGGAAUUGGUUUGGGAACUCUUUUGUCAAGUUCUCACCUUAUAACAGAUGGAAUGUUGCAAGCAGCUGUUGAAUGCCUUGCUUCAUACAUGGCUGAGGAAGAUAUCUCAAACGGAAUUUUAUACCCAUCUGCUGACAGGUGAUAUUCCUUAUUUUCUCUUGAUAUCUUUCGCAUUUCAUUUUCUUCUGACUUUGCUUUCUCUGUUGCCUUUUGUAAUAACCAAAACAAAUGAUACUGUAAAAAUUUUAUAACUUAAAACUGUGAUCUGGUGAAUGUUGUUAUCAAGGAUCAG
This is an RNA transcript of Vigna unguiculata (cowpea), 508 nucleotides long. It is a transcript of the gene named NAD-dependent malic enzyme 2, mitochondrial-like, with no coding region annotated. The record is from RefSeq and is a predicted model, not a curated record. NCBI's taxonomy places the organism in Eukaryota, Viridiplantae, Streptophyta, Magnoliopsida, Fabales, Fabaceae.